UCUUCCACAAUGGACGAAAGUCUGAUGGAGCAACGCCGCGUGAGUGAAGAAGGGUUUCGCUCGUAAAGCUCUGUUGGUAGUGAAGAAAGAUAGAGGUAGUAACUGGCCUUUAUUUGACGGUAAUUACUUAGAAAGUCACGGCUAACUACGUGCC
This 154-nucleotide ribosomal RNA is filed under the name uncultured bacterium. Its description in RNAcentral is "partial 16S ribosomal RNA". It matches the Rfam family "Bacterial small subunit ribosomal RNA", at positions 362 to 509 of the family's 1533-position model. The record is from RNAcentral.